RNAcentral lists this ribosomal RNA (253 nucleotides) under uncultured bacterium. RNAcentral's name for it is "partial 16S ribosomal RNA". It matches the Rfam family "Bacterial small subunit ribosomal RNA", at positions 524 to 776 of the family's 1533-position model. The record is from RNAcentral.
UACGUAGGGGGCGAGCGUUGUCCGGAUUUAUUGGGCGUAAAGAGCGUGUAGGCGGUUCGGUAAGUCUGUCGUGAAAUCCUGAGGCUCAACCUCGGGCGUGCGAUGGAUACUGCCGGGCUAGAGGGUGGUAGAGGCGAGUGGAAUUCCCGGUGUAGCGGUGAAAUGCGCAGAUAUCAGGAGGAACACCAAUGGCGAAGGCAGCUCGCUGGAACGGUACUGACGCUGAGGCGCGAAAGCGUGGGGAGCGAACAGG